GCAUCUUGUCCCACCCUUUUAACGCACAUAGUUGCCUAUAAAGUCAGUGAAACUUCCUUAAUAUUUAUCCAUACUGACUGCAUGAUGACAAUUCCCGACAGAAAAACUUUUAAAAAAGAAAUUUCACCCCGUGUGAAAUGGAAGUUUUUGUAGGAGAGGUUGAAGCAAGAAAAAAUAUAUUGUUUGGUGGACACCGUGUGGGCAUUAUAAAUACCAAAAAGGCGUUAGUGGCAGCAUGUGGCAGACGCUGUGAAUGCUGCUGGCUCAAAAGGUCGGACCAUUUCAGUAAUAAAAAUGAAGUGGUCUGACCAAAGUGGAGGACAAAGGGCACAUAGCCUUACACAGACAAAGUGUUUGUGCCACGGAUGGGGGUAAGGUGACACCGGAGCUCAAACCCCUUGAUGAGCGACUUGCCGGUAUUAUAGGGGAAUCCCUCCGGAGUGGAGUAGUGUCGGAGGGGGACAUGCAAAACGCACCGGAUGAUCCAGCGGGGUCGGUGGUGUUGCAGCUGAGCAGGAGCUGAAUGCGCCCAGCCCCGGCUCAACCCUCCAGCCGCUGUGUCCUCACAGAUGCAGUCCUGCAAACAGACACCAUCGAAGCUAUUAACGAGGUUGCCACGGAGUUGAAGUGGGACAGGCACUCCUUGGUUUCUGCGGUUGCUUCUCUGGAAAGCUGGGCCCACUACAGCACAGAGAUCCAAGAGAACAGCUCUUGGUAAUCGGAACCGGCUCAUAAACCACUCGUAAUCAUUGGCCAGUAAAUAUGGCCUAGUCUCUGAAAAUUCGCUCUCUCCGAAUUCUUCCAUUCGCCAAAUCUUCCUACAGUGCCAAUAAAAGCCAUUGUGUGUCAUUACGCAUUGUAAUUGCACGUCUUUUUAUACCCACCCAUUUGAUUGUCAAAGCUACCCAAAUUGUGUAACACCUUCAGGUGUGGUAAUUAACCUGAUUGUAGCUGACAAUGACAGGGCCAUUAUCACAGUGACAGUUCUGCGCAACGAACAUGUGAUACAAAUGCACAGUUUCAUAUAUUUUUAUCUGCCCGACUGAAGCAUCGAAAACGGCAUCCGUUUAAAGUAAUUUGUCCUACUGUUCACCAAAUUAUUUAUGAGAAUACAUUUCAUAAAAUGCAAGUAUUGUUUAAUAAUUACAGAACCAAAUAAAUAUGAUUCCGAUUAAACUGUACAACAUAUGUGAGGGAUUCUUUUGCAAAAAUCGAUAUCUCCGUUUGUAUUUAUUAUCCCAAAUCAUGUUUUUUUUUGUGGGGGGUUUUGUGUGCACUCCAGGGAAUUCUUCAUAUAUAAUACAUGAGAGGUAAUAUUUUGAUUUAUUUUACACAAUUAUAUACAUUUCAAAGUGUUUCUCAAGUUCCAUCCUUCUGCCAUAGCAGUCGCAGUAUCUAAUUUCUCCAGUUAAUGUGCAUACCUAUGGGUCAAAGUGUCCGUGGAGGACCUGGCAGUUCGCUUAGAAAGUGGUGUAAGCCUUCUUUUGUGCCUACACAAUGUUUAUAAAUGAG
Long non-coding RNA from Oncorhynchus tshawytscha (Chinook salmon), 1512 nucleotides. The record is from Ensembl. Lineage: Eukaryota; Metazoa; Chordata; Actinopteri; Salmoniformes; Salmonidae.